Molecule: long non-coding RNA, 772 nt
Filed under: Homo sapiens (human)
Lineage: Eukaryota; Metazoa; Chordata; Mammalia; Primates; Hominidae
Description: non-protein coding lnc-USP32-2:6
Source: RNAcentral
AGUUCAGAGAAGAGGUCGGGAGCAGCUGGACGAUAGAGAACAGUCCUCCUACCAGCAGCCCUAGGGCCCUCGGCUGGCGCAGGUUCUGCUUUCUCGCGGGAAACGCUCCCCUACAUAUGCUCGCUCACAGCCCACCGCCCCGCGCCGCUGCAGCUUCUGUGCCCCGGAAAGCCUCUCCAGCAGCCUGGCAGUGCUCGAGGUGAGCACAGCGUUUCGGCCUCCCGAGCCUGCCUACUCCUCGUGGCGAUGUCUGACAGCUAGGUCAGCGGCGCGACGUCCAUGGGGGCCCUGCGCGCUGAGCGCGACGUCCAGCCCGAGCGCGGUCCCUAAGCGGGCCAGCCUUGGCCUGGGGCGCCGUCUGAAUUGGGCGCUGGCUGCACACUCAGCUGGCCUGGAAUGCCCUGGACGGCACCUGCCUGCUUGACUUCUGCCUCUACCAUCUGGUCUGGCAUUUCGCCCCAGGCUGAUGAUAAGAAGGUGCCAGGAGGCCCUGGGACACCGCGCAGGAGCACGGCGGGAGCCAUACUGGGGCAUAGCCCUGGACUGCCUCUCUGAACUGGCCUGCUCUGGGGAAGAGUGCCCUGCUUCUUUGUGCUACGAUCAUGCUUGACUCACUGGGCAAUAUUGUCUUGUCUUUCCUUUCUCUUUCUUUUUAUGGAUAUAGUAGCCCUCAUUCACUCUAGACCUGUCCUAUGAAUUGUAUGGGGAGGCUGGGCCCUGGGAAGCUUUCCCUCGGCUUUUAGAAUCUCAACCCCCUUGUGGUCAUCCAAGC